GCUGCCAACCCGUCUCCCUUAGGUGCGAUACAGGAUGUCAAUGAGUCAUUGUAACACACCGUCAACAGCUUCACCUAUGUUCCAAUUGCUGAACCUCGGACACACUUGAGUUUCUUUAGUGUUAUUGCUUGGUGUUAUUGCAUGGUGAAUACGCAUAACUGUUGGUCCAAAAUGCACUUUUGACUUUUUACUUGCCAGAGUGGAAUGAUCUUCCGGCCAAGUCGUUGUUUAAAUAUGUAUCCUUGAAUUGAUUUCACCAGACAAUUGUUCAAUUGUUUCAAAUACUUAAAAUGUUUAUGGCAGUUGUUAGAAGUCGGUAAGAAUUAGGAAGUCAAUUCACAGUUAUUUAGACUUAGAGCGGGAAAAGCAUGACAAAAUGUUUAAUGUUGUUAAUUGACUAAUAUCAAUACAGUUAUGCUAACAAUAUCAAUACCCCAGAACUUGUGUGCUUGGCAUCUUGGAGGAAAUGUCUUCUCUAAACUCGCACAUGAAUCACCAUGACUACCACAUAUACAGUGCUACUCAUGCAUUAUUAGUACUACAUAUGCAGUGUUAAUACUACGCAUGCAUUAUUAGUGCUACACAUGCAGUGUUAGUACUUCACAUUAAGUGUUAGGUCACAGGCCGAGGGAGCCAAACCUUACAUAUAAACAGUAUGACUUCAUUAUUGCGGGGGCGUUGCGUGAGUUCCUUGUUAGCUCCAGCCUCCUCCGUCACGUCACCCGUAACUCCUCCUCCCACCACAUUCAACCCACAUCUCCAUCUCUUAAACCUCCUCCACAACCCAGCUCCUCCACUCUUACCUUGCGGGGCAAAUGACUUCAAACACACACACACUUCAAACACACACACACACGCACACACACACACACACACACACACACACACACACACACACACUCACACUCACACUCACACACACACACACACACACACACACACACACACACACUCACACUCACACACACAGACA
Gadus macrocephalus (Pacific cod) is the source of this 973-nucleotide long non-coding RNA. RefSeq lists it as uncharacterized. The transcript has 2 exons. Lineage: Eukaryota; Metazoa; Chordata; Actinopteri; Gadiformes; Gadidae. The record is from RefSeq and is a predicted model, not a curated record.